This 1392-nucleotide ribosomal RNA is filed under the name metagenome. RNAcentral describes it as "bacterial SSU rRNA". It matches the Rfam family "Archaeal small subunit ribosomal RNA". The record is from RNAcentral.
UCCAGUUGAUCCUGCUGGCGGCUGCGGCUCUCUGAUUUGCGUUUAGACAUGCAAGUCCUUUUAGUUUCUUCGGAAGUUGAAAGGCAAACUGCUCAGUAACACGUAGCUAACCUACCCUUAAGUCAAGAAUACCCUCGGGAAACUGAGGUUAAUGCUUGAUAGGAGAUAUGCCCUGGAAUGACUUAUCUCUUAAAUUCGUGCUUAAGGAUGGGGCUGCGGCGGAUUAGGUUGUUGGCGGGGUAAAAGCCCACCAAGCCGAAGAUCCGUAAGGGCUCUUAGCGGAGAGGCCCUGAGAGGGAAUCUGAGACACUAUUCCCAGCCCUACGGGGUGCAGCAGUUAGGAAUAAUCUACAAUGUACGUAAGUAUGAUAGUUUGAAUCAGAGUGCUUUUCAAUUUGAAAAGCUUUUGAGAAAUGUAAAAAGUUUCUCGAAUAAGGACUGGGUAAGACGAGUGCCAGCCGCCGCGGUAAUACUCGCGGUCCAAGUCGCAGCCACAUUUAUUGGGUCUAAAACAUCCGUAGCUUGCUUGAUAAGUUUCUUGUGAAAUCCAACUUCUUAAAAGUUGGGCGCGCAAAAAGUACUGUCGAGCUAGAGACUGGAAGACGUGGGAAGUACGUUUAAAGUAGUGGUUAAAUACGUUAAUCUUAGACGGACUCACAAUAGCGAAGGCAUCCCACGAGGACAGUUCUGACAGUGAGGGAUGAAGGCUAGGGGCGCAAAGGGGAUUAGAUACCCCUGUAGUCCUAGCAGUAAACACUGCACACUAAACAUUAGUACCUCCUCGAGAGGUAUUGGUGCUGAAGGGAAGCCGAAGAGUGUGCUACCUGGGAAGUAUAGUCGCAAGGCCGAAACUUAAAGGAAUUGGCGGGGAGACACUACAACGGGUGACGCGUGCGGUUCAAUCAGAUUCUACACCGUGAACCUCACCAGGGGCGACAGCAGAAUGAAGGUCAGUCUAAAGGGCUUACCUGACACGCUGAGAGGGAUUACAUAGCCGACGUCAGCCUGUGCCGUGAGGUGACCUGUUAAAUCAGGUAACAGGCAAGACCCACAUCUUUAUUUACGAAACAAUAAAGAGAUCGCCUUGGUAACAAGGAUGAAAGUGUGGGCUACGUUAGGUGGCACAGUCCGAAUCUCCUGGGCGACACGCGCGCGUCAACGGUGGAUACAAUGAGAUGCAACUCCGAAAGGAGAAGCUAAUCCCCUAAAAUCCAUCUCAGUCUAGAUCGAGGUUUGAAACCCAGCCUCGUGACACUGGAAUCCGUAGUAAUCGGAUGUUAUUAGCGUCCGGUGAAUAGGUCACUGUCUCUUGCACACACUGCCCGUCAAACCAACCGAGUUUAGUUAUGGUGAAACUUUUCGAAGGAGAACUUUGACUAGACAAGGUAGGUU